GGAGGGAUGGCCGAGGGGUUUAAGGCAGCGGUCUUGAAAACCGCCGUGGUGGCGACACCACCGUGGGUUCGAAUCCCACUCUCUCCGCCA
Molecule: transfer RNA, 90 nt
Filed under: Silanimonas sp.
Lineage: Bacteria; Pseudomonadati; Pseudomonadota; Gammaproteobacteria; Lysobacterales; Lysobacteraceae
Description: tRNA-Ser
Rfam family: tRNA
About the family: Transfer RNA (tRNA) molecules are approximately 80 nucleotides in length. Their secondary structure includes four short double-helical elements and three loops (D, anti-codon, and T loops).
Source: RNAcentral